This 103-nucleotide microRNA precursor is filed under the name Marmota monax (woodchuck). Lineage: Eukaryota; Metazoa; Chordata; Mammalia; Rodentia; Sciuridae. The record is from RNAcentral.
AGUAGAAUUGCUGGGUCAUAUAGUGGUUCUAUUAUUAGUCUUUUGAGAAAUCUCCAUACUGCUUUCCAGAAUGGUUGUACUAAUUUGCAGUCCACAAAACAAU